Nerophis ophidion (straightnose pipefish) is the source of this 2753-nucleotide long non-coding RNA. RefSeq lists it as uncharacterized. NCBI's taxonomy places the organism in Eukaryota, Metazoa, Chordata, Actinopteri, Syngnathiformes, Syngnathidae. The record is from RefSeq and is a predicted model, not a curated record. The transcript is spliced from 2 exons.
ACAGAAUGUGAAAAAUCUAGGAAUUCACAUUGUAGGAAUUUUAAAGAAUUUAUUUGUAAAUGAUGGUGGAAAAUAAGUGUUUGGUCAACCAUUCAAAGCUCUCAGUGAUGGAAGGAGGUUUUGGCUCAAAAUCUCCCGAUACAUGGCCCCAUUCAUUCUUUCCUUAACACGGAUCAAUCGUCCUGUCCCCUUAGUAGAAAAAAAACAACCUCAAAGCAUGAUGUUUCCACCCCCAUGCUUCCACAGUAGGUGUGGUGUUCUUGGGAUGCAACUCAGUAUUCUUCUUCCUCCAAACACAACGAGUUGAGUUUAUACCAAAAAGUUAUAUUUUGGUUUCAUCUGACCACAUGACAUUCUCCCAAUCCUCUGCUGUAUCAUCCAUGUGCUCUCUGGCAAAGUUCAGACGGGCCUGGACAUGCACUGGCUUAAGCAGGGGGACACAUCUGGCACUGCAGGAUUUUAUUCCCUUUCGGCGUAGUGUGUUACUGAUGGUAACCUUUAUUACUUUGGUCCCAGCCUUCUGCAGGUCAUUCACCAGGUCCCCCCGUGUGGUUUUGGGAUUUUUGCUCACCGUUCUCAUGAUCAUUUUGACCCCACGGGAUGAGAUCUUGUGUGGAGCCCCAGAUCGAGGGAGAUUAUCAGUGGUCUUAUUCACGCUUCCCAGUCUGGUGCAGGUCUACAAUUCUUUUCCUGGUGUCCUUCGACAGCUCUUCGGUCUUGGCCAUAGUGGAGUUUGGAGUCUGACUGUUUGAGGCUGUGGACAGGUGUCUUUUAUACAGAUAACGAGUUCAAACAGGUUCCAUUAAUACAGGUAACGAGUGGAGUACAGAAGAGCUUCUUAAAGAAGAAGUUACAGGUCUGUAAUAGCCAGAGAUCUUCCUUGUUUGAAGUGACCAAAUACUUAUUUUCCACCAUAAUUUACAAAUAAUUUAUUUAAAAUUCCUACAAUGUGAAUUCCUGGAUUUUUUCCCCACAUUCUGUCUCUCACAGUUGAAGUGUACCUAUGAUGAAAAUUACAGACCUUUGCCAUCAUUUUAAGUGGGAGAACUUGGACAAUCGGUGGCUGACUAAAUGCCCCACUGUAUAUAUAUUUUUUUUAAAUUAAAUUUGGCCAAAUGGGGCGCAUUUGAAUUUCUUACACACACUUGUUCUUACAUAUGUUGGCCAGAGGGGGAGCACUUUUAAAACCAACACACAGUCAAUUUGAAAAAUCUUUCCUUUUUGGACCACCCUAAUUUUGAUAGAUUUCACCACCAAAUGAGACAUUCUCUAUUAGAUGCAAUGGUUUUCCGUAUUAGGACCAUGAUUUAUGUCCUAACUUUUUCACCGGUCCUCAUAUGGAAGCUACUUUUCCUUGUGUAUGUCUCAAGAAGGGUAGAAAUACAAGAAUACAAUUGAAAAUGAAAUUACAUUUUAUCAGUUUAUGAUCAUGAUAUAUGUUGUGCCUUUCCGGCCCACCAAUGCUAUCUCCUAUACGUGAAUAUACUUCAGAGUAGUCAGUGUGCAACUUGUAUGGACUUACCAUGGCUCAACACAGCGAGUACCAAAAUGGUCUGGUGGUGGUGGUGGUGUUAUUGUCUGGGGCUGCAAGAGUUCUACCAGCACUAAGGGGAGCUGUGGUUCAUUGAGUCGAAACAUGAAUUCCAACAUGUCCUGUGACAUUUUUUCUCAUGUUUUUCGUACUACUUCCUGUUAUAACAGUUUCAUGAAAAAUCCACCGAUGUCUUUUUCAAAUCUUUAUUCCAUGUUAAUACCAUAAAUAUACAAAACUGAAAACUAUUUCACAUGCGACAAAGGCCAGACAAGAGUGCAUUAAAUUUUCUUUUUUUUUUUUACACGCCACUCCAUUAAGGGCAUCAACUGAUCAUCUUUACAAAAUAUACAAGUACAGUAUUCCUUUUAAAUUAGGGUGAGGUCUCUCAUUCAGUGAACUAACAAAUGGUGACAGGUCAAGAACAUUUUAGAGUGUUGACCCGCCUGCAAAACACAAGAGAGGGCAACUCUCAUGUUCGGCAGUAAAAGUAAUGUAGAACAUCACAAACUUUAGAAAAAAAAUCUAAAUGGACUUUUGGUAGAUUACUCACAGCUUUUGAGGAUUUACAGUAGAAUAACACUUGAGGGAUUUCUUUUUUUCUGUGUCUGUUUUGAUUCUUUCACACAAAUCAUUCAAAGCUUCCUUGCCACACAUAAUAAUACACCUUGUAAAAUACAACUUAAAAUAUGCCAUAAAUUAGAACAACUAACAUAAAAACCAAAGAAAAUGUGCUAACAAAAUUCCAAAAUACUGUGGUUAGUUUAGUCAGGGUUAGCGAUCAACACUUGCAGGCAUUUAUUUCAGUCCAACAAUUAAACGCCAGUCAUUCCCCGUCUGUCGUGCACACUCCUCACCACUAGGGGGUGUAGUAGUCUGUACAAUUUAACACUGCCAUUGUUUGGAGGUCCUCUGUGUUAUCAGUCAUCUGGGCAUCAAAAACACUAUGCGGUUGUUUAGGGCCAUAACUACUAGAGGGCGCCACAUGAUCAGAAAGUUUCAAUACACUGAUAUUUUCAAUAUCUAGUGACUCAUGAAUUCAAACCCGAGCAAUAUUAAAGACCAAAUGGGGCCACAAAAAGCCAACUACAGGUCAUAAUCCCACUUUUUUUGGGUACUUAAUGACCAUUUCACAUUUGUUUAUCAACGACAGGGGUCUCAAACUCAAUUUACCUGGGGGCCACUGGAUGCAGAAACAGAGUGAGGCUGGGCCCCAAGAAAA